RNAcentral lists this ribosomal RNA (537 nucleotides) under Stolephorus dubiosus. RNAcentral's name for it is "partial 16S ribosomal RNA". It matches the Rfam family "Bacterial large subunit ribosomal RNA", at positions 1931 to 2624 of the family's 2925-position model. Lineage: Eukaryota; Metazoa; Chordata; Actinopteri; Clupeiformes; Engraulidae. The record is from RNAcentral.
CCGCGGUAUCCUAACCGUGCGAAGGUAGCGCAAUCAAUUGCCCUAUAAAUGAGGGCCUGUAUGAAUGGUAUGACGAGGGUUUAACUGUCUCUUUUUUCCAGUCAGUGAAACUGAUCUGUCCGUGCAGAAGCGGACAUUUUUAUACAAGACGAGAAGACCCUAUGGAGCUUUAGGCACUAACCAACUAUCGGAAGCAAUUUUACAAGUAAAUUCCACUUUAGAUUUUCUGGUAAUGUAGUCUUAGGUUGGGGCGACCACGGGAGAAAAAGAAGCUCCCAAGUAGACAGGGAAUAACCCUGAAACCAAGAGCUACGGCUCUAAGUCGCAAAAUAUUUGACUAAUAUGAUCCGGCCGAUGGCCGAUUAACGAACCAAGUUACCCUAGGGAUAACAGCGCAAUCCUCUCCCAGAGUCCUCAUCGACGAGAGGGUUUACGACCUCGAUGUUGGAUCAGGACAUCCUAAUGGUGCAGCCGCUAUUAAGGGUUCGUUUGUUCAACGAUUAAAGUCCUACAUGAUCUGAGUCCAAAACAAGGAGA